UAGCCCUGGCAGGCUGCAGCCCUGAAAAGGCUGGCGUCGGCGGUUCGAUUCCGUCCCUGGCCA
Molecule: transfer RNA, 63 nt
Filed under: Terriglobia bacterium
Lineage: Bacteria; Pseudomonadati; Acidobacteriota; Terriglobia
Description: tRNA-Phe
Source: RNAcentral